GACGAACGCUGGCGGCGUGCAUAAUACAUGCAAGUCGAACGAAGUGGGGACGGGUGAGUAACACGUGGGUAACCUCCCAUCAGAGGGGAUAACACUUGGAAACAGGUGCUAAACCGAUACUGAUGGAUGGACCCGCGGUGGAUUAGCUAGUUGGUGAGGUAACGGCUCACCAAGGCCAAGAUGCAUAGCCGACCUGAGAGGGUGAUCGGCCACCCUAGGACUGAGACACGGCCCAGACUCCUACGUGAGGCAGCAGUAGGGAAUCUUCGGCAAUGGACGAAAGUCUGACCGAGCAACGCCGCGUGAGUGAAGAAGGUUUUCGGAUCGUAAAACUCUGUUGUUAGAGAAGCGGUAUCUAACCAGAAAGCCACGGCUAACUACGUGCCAGCAGCCGCGGUAAUUC
RNAcentral lists this ribosomal RNA (403 nucleotides) under uncultured bacterium. RNAcentral's name for it is "partial 16S ribosomal RNA". It matches the Rfam family "Bacterial small subunit ribosomal RNA", at positions 28 to 526 of the family's 1533-position model. The record is from RNAcentral.